GCAGUAGCCGCGGUAAUACGGAGGGUGCGAGCGUUACUCGGAAUUACUGGGCGUAAAGCGUGCGUAGGUGGUGGUUUAAGUCCGUUGUGAAAGCCCUGGGCUCAACCUGGGAAUUGCAGUGGAUACUGGGUCACUAGAGUGUGGUAGAGGAUAGUGGAAUUUCCGGUGUAGCAGUGAAAUGCGUAGAGAUCGGAAGGAACAUCUGUGGCGAAGGCGACUAUCUGGGCCAACACUGACACUGAGGCACGGAAGCGUGGGGAGCAAACAGGAUUAGAUACCCGCGUAGUCCCUGUCUCUUAUAC
Molecule: ribosomal RNA, 302 nt
Filed under: uncultured bacterium
Lineage: Bacteria
Description: partial 16S ribosomal RNA
Rfam family: Bacterial small subunit ribosomal RNA
Source: RNAcentral